CGGAUUGCAGUCUGCAACUCGACUGCAUGAAGCUGGAAUCGCUAGUAAUCGCGGAUCAGAAUGCCGCGGUGAAUACGUUCCCGGGUCUUGUACACACCGCCCGUCACACCAUGGGAGUCAGUAACGCCCGAAGUCAGUGACCGAACCGAGAGGACGGAGCUGCCGAAGGCGGGACGGAUAACUGGGGUGAAGUCGUAACAAGGUAUC
This 207-nucleotide ribosomal RNA is filed under the name uncultured bacterium. RNAcentral describes it as "partial 16S ribosomal RNA". It matches the Rfam family "Bacterial small subunit ribosomal RNA", at positions 1294 to 1500 of the family's 1533-position model. The record is from RNAcentral.